AACUCCUACGGGACGCAGCAGUGAGGAAUAUUGGUCAAUGGGCGGAAGCCUGAACCAGCCAAGUCGCGUGAGGGAAUAAGGCCCUACGGGUCGUAAACCUCUUUUGUCAGGGAGCAAGAACGGAUACGUGUAUCCGAGCGAGAGUACCUGAAGAAAAAGCAUCGGCUAACUCCGUGCCAGCAGCCGCGGUAAUACGGAGGAUGCGAGCGUUAUCCGGAUUUAUUGGGUUUAAAGGGUGCGUAGGCGGACUGCCAAGUCAGCGGUAAAAUUGCGGGGCUCAACCCCGUCGAGCCGUUGAAACUGGG
Molecule: ribosomal RNA, 305 nt
Filed under: uncultured bacterium
Lineage: Bacteria
Description: bacterial SSU rRNA
Rfam family: Bacterial small subunit ribosomal RNA
Source: RNAcentral